AUGCACAUUUCCUUGCCUAUCUUUAUGUCGAGAGAAAAGAUAUUUCUGAUGUGCUAAAGAAAUCUUUGGAGGUAAAUUAGCAGCAUGACUCAUUCAGCCAGUGCUGUCAAUCACCUUCAGACAAGU
Molecule: small nucleolar RNA, 126 nt
Organism: Diceros bicornis minor
Lineage: Eukaryota; Metazoa; Chordata; Mammalia; Perissodactyla; Rhinocerotidae
Source: RefSeq, a predicted model, not a curated record